This 497-nucleotide ribosomal RNA is filed under the name uncultured bacterium. RNAcentral's name for it is "partial 16S ribosomal RNA". It matches the Rfam family "Bacterial small subunit ribosomal RNA", at positions 28 to 507 of the family's 1533-position model. The record is from RNAcentral.
GAUGAACGCUGGCGGCGUGCCUAAUACAUGCAAGUCGAGCGAACGGACGAGAAGCUUGCUCCUCUGACGUUAGCGGCGGACGGGUGAGUAACACGUGGAUAACCUACCUAUAAGACUGGGAUAACUUCGGGAAACCGGAGCUAAUACCGGAUAAUAUAUUGAACCGCAUGGUUCAAUAGUGAAAGACGGUCUUGCUGUCACUUAUAGAUGGAUCCGCGCUGCAUUAGCUAGUUGGUAAGGUAACGGCUUACCAAGGCAACGAUGCGUAGCCGACCUGAGAGGGUGAUCGGCCACACUGGAACUGAGACACGGUCCAGACUCCUACGGGAGGCAGCAGUAGGGAAUCUUCCGCAAUGGGCGAAAGCCUGACGGAGCAACGCCGCGUGAGUGAUGAAGGUCUUCGGAUCGUAAAACUCUGUUAUUAGGGAAGAACAAAUGUGUAAGUAACUAUGCACGUCUUGAUGGUACCUAAUCAGAAAGCCACGGCUAACUACGUG